RNAcentral lists this long non-coding RNA (2177 nucleotides) under Homo sapiens (human). RNAcentral's name for it is "HSALNT0118079". The record is from RNAcentral. Lineage: Eukaryota; Metazoa; Chordata; Mammalia; Primates; Hominidae.
GUAAGCUCAAAUGGGAGGAACACAGCGUGUGCACAAGGCUCCAGUGUGAUCAGCUGCAUCAUGUUGCUACGCUCUGUCACCUUUGCUUUUCUGCAAAUGAAGAAGCAGACAUUGAAGAUUAGGAUAUUCAAAAGCAACUGCAUAUAUGAGGAAAAUUAGGAAGUGCCUGUGCAUGCCCAGCAAAAGGCAGAGGCUCAGAAAAGACCUGAGAAGAACUUAAGUAUACACCUUAGGCUGAUCCAUGGCACAGAAACAGCCUACAACAACCAGCAAAACAAAAAACAAAAACAGCAAACUUUGGGUAAGGGGGAAAUCUGAUUUCCAUAUUACCUCAUUAGAUUCAAAAGUCCACUUUCCAACAACAACAAAAAAUCACAAGGCAUACAAAGAAAUAAGAAAGUAUCACUCAUUUAAAGAAAAAAAAUAAAACAACAGUAACUGUCCCUGAAAAAGCCCUGAUGGCUAAUAUACUGGACAGAGACUUUAAAACAACUGUCUUGAAGAUGCUCAAAGAAAUAAAGGCAGAUGUGGAGAAAGCCAAGAAAACAACGUUUGAACAAAAUGGAAAUAUAAAUAAAGACAGAAAACCAAAAAAGAAACCAAAAAGAAAUUCUGGAGCAGAAAAAAAAACUGAAGUGAUAAAUUUACUAGAGGGAUUCAAAAGCAAUUUUAAUGAGGUGGAAGAAAGAAUCAGUGAAUGUGAAGAUAGGGCAAAGGAAAAUAUUCUCAGGAAUAGAAAGAAAAAAGAUUGAAGAAAAGUGAACAGAGCAAAAGGGACUUGAGGGACACAAUAAAGAGGACAAACAUAUGUGUUAUGGGAGUCCUAGAAAAAGAAGAGAGGGAGAAAGAACAGAAAGUAUACUUGAAGAAAUAAGGGCUGAAAACUUCCCAAAUUUGAGGAAAGAUGUGAAUACAAACAUCUAAGAAGUUUAACAAUCUCUAAGUAGGAAGAACUUUAAGAUAUCCACAUUGAGACACGUUGUAAUUAAACUUCCCACAGCCAAAUACAAAGACAGAAUCUUGAAAUCAGUGAAACUGCAGUGAUUCAUCACGAUACAUGGGAUCCUCAAUAAAAUUAUCAGCAGAUUUGUUAUCAGAAAAUUUGAAAAAACAAAAACAAAACCCUGUAACCAAGAAUCCUACAGCUAGGAAAAUGGGACUUCAGAUGUGAGGGUGGAAUUAAGAUUUCCCAGAUAAACAAAAGUUGAGGGAGUUUGUUACCUGUAGACUGCUCUGCAAAAAAUGCUAAAAGGAGCCCUUCUGAAUGAAAUGAAAAGAUACUGGAUAGUAACUUGGAGCUGUAUGAAGAAAUAAAGAUUUCAGUAAAGGUAAAUACAUAAGCAAUUGUAAAAGCUAGUAUUAUUUUAGCACUAGUUUGUAACUCCACUUUUUUCUAUAUGAUUUAAGAUGCUAAUACUUUUUUUAAAAGCAAUUAUUAGUCUAAAAGCUAGUAUCAUUGUAACUUUGGUUUUUAACCCCACAUUUUGAUUUCUAUGUUAUUUAAAAGGCUAAUGCAUUUUUAAAAAUUAUUGAUGUUUUUGGAAGUAUCGUGUAUGUGAUUUUGUGACAUCAACAACUGAAAACAGUGGGAAUGAAGAUAUAAAAGAGCAGCACUUUGUAUAAUAUUGAAGUUCAGCUGAUAUAAAUCCAAAUUAAGAGUAUUUGACUUUAGGAUACCAAAUGUCAUCUGCAUAGUAACUACAAGAAAAACAGACGUAGAAUAUAAAAAAAAAAGAAAAAAAUUCAAACAUGUCACUACACAAAAUCAACUAAACACAAAAGCAGACAAAUGCAGGAAAUGGAAAACCAAAAAAGUGAUAAGACAUAUAGGAAAAAGAAUAGCAACAUGACGGAAGCAGGUCCCUCUUUAUCAGUCAGCCAUAAAAAGGAAGGAAAGUCUGACACAGGCUUCAGUACAAACAAAUUUUGAGGACAUUACAUUAGGUGAAAGAAGCCAGUCACAAAAUGAGAAAUACUGUAUGAUCCCAUUUAUAUGAAGUACACGGAGUAGACAAACUCAUAAGACAAAAAGUAGAAGGGUGCCAGCCAAGGGCUCAAGGAAGAAGGGAAUUAGGAGUUAUUGUUUAAUGGAUUAGCAUUUCAGUUCUGCAAGAUGAAAAGAGUUCUGGAGAUGGAUGGGGGGUGAUGGUUGUACAACAAUAUGAACGUACUCAAUG